UAACCAAUCAAGCCUGGCUUGGUAUUGGAGCCCGCUGUCCGGCGGCUCUUAAAUGCAGUGGCAGCGCCGCUGAGCUCUAAGCGUAGUAAAUUUUCUCGCUAUAGGGUUCUUGUAGUGGCUCGCCAUAACCCCCUCAUUUUUUAA
RNAcentral lists this unclassified non-coding RNA (144 nucleotides) under uncultured Helotiales. RNAcentral describes it as "sequence contains ITS2". The record is from RNAcentral. Lineage: Eukaryota; Fungi; Ascomycota; Leotiomycetes; Helotiales.